AGAGUUUGAUCAUGGCUCAGAUUGAACGCUGGCGGCAUGCCUUUACACAUGCAAGUCGAACGGCAGCGGGGACUUCGGUCCGCCGGCGAGUGGCGAACGGGUGAGUAAUGUAUCGGAACGUACCUUUCAGUGGGGGAUAACGUAGCGAAAGUUACGCUAAUACCGCAUAUUCUGUGAGCAGGAAAGCAGGGGAUCGCAAGACCUUGCGCUGAUUGAGCGGCCGAUAUCAGAUUAGCUAGUUGGUGAGGUAAAGGCUCACCAAGGCUACGAUCUGUAGCGGGUCUGAGAGGAUGAUCCGCCACACUGGGACUGAGACACGGCCCAGACUCCUACGGGAGGCAGCAGUGGGGAAUUUUGGACAAUGGGCGAAAGCCUGAUCCAGCCAUGCCGCGUGAGUGAAGAAGGCCUUCGGGUUGUAAAGCUCUUUCGGCCGGGAAGAAAUCGCAUCAGCUAAUACCUGGUGUGGAUGACGGUACCGGACUAAGAAGCACCGGCUAACUACGUGCCAGCAGCCGCGGUAAUACGUAGGGUGCGAGCGUUAAUCGGAAUUACUGGGCGUAAAGCGUGCGCAGGCGGUUUGAUAAGACAGGCGUGAAAUCCCCGGGCUUAACCUGGGAACUGCGCUUGUGACUGUCUCACUAGAGUACGGCAGAGGGGGGUGGAAUUCCACGUGUAGCAGUGAAAUGCGUAGAGAUGUGGAGGAACACCGAUGGCGAAGGCAGCCCCCUGGGCCGAUACUGACGCUCAUGCACGAAAGCGUGGGUAGCAAACAGGAUUAGAUACCCUGGUAGUCCACGCCCUAAACGAUGUCAACUAGGUGUUGGGUGGGUAAAACCAUUUAGUACCGUAGCUAACGCGUGAAGUUGACCGCCUGGGGAGUACGGCCGCAAGGUUAAAACUCAAAGGAAUUGACGG
RNAcentral lists this ribosomal RNA (915 nucleotides) under uncultured bacterium. RNAcentral's name for it is "bacterial SSU rRNA". It matches the Rfam family "Bacterial small subunit ribosomal RNA", at positions 8 to 916 of the family's 1533-position model. The record is from RNAcentral.